This 497-nucleotide ribosomal RNA is filed under the name Ganoderma tropicum. RNAcentral's name for it is "SSU rRNA". It matches the Rfam family "Bacterial small subunit ribosomal RNA", at positions 406 to 948 of the family's 1533-position model. The record is from RNAcentral. Lineage: Eukaryota; Fungi; Basidiomycota; Agaricomycetes; Polyporales; Polyporaceae.
UCAUAGAAUUUCUUCAAAUUCAUGAUGUCGUAAGGGAAAAUAAUGAUAAUACCUUACUAUGAGUGUCGUCCAAAUCUGGUGCCAGAAGACUCGGUAAGACCAGAGACGCAAACGUUAAUCAUCAUAAACAGGCGUAAAGGGUUUGUAGGCAGCUUUUAUAAGAUAAUAAAAAUCUAAAUUGAAAGCUAGAAUCAAAAAGAGGUUAUAGUGUAUAACGCCUAGAGGAGGGCUGAUAUCCAUAGAUCCUAGGCAGAAUACUCAGGGCGAAGGCCACUCUCCACUAAUGAUUGACGCUGAGAAACGAAGGUUAGGGUAGGAAAUAGGAUUAGAUACCCCGGUACUCCUUUCUGUAAACGAUGAAUGGUAGUCAUUAGUUUUAAUAAAUAACUAGAGGCGAAGUUAACACAAUAACCAUUCCGCCUUGUGAGUACUACUGCAAAGUAGAAAACAAAAAAAUUAGUCGGUCUCGAAGCAAACGGAGUGAAGCAUGUUAUUUA